Molecule: unclassified non-coding RNA, 350 nt
Filed under: uncultured fungus
Lineage: Eukaryota; Fungi
Description: partial contains small subunit ribosomal RNA, internal transcribed spacer 1, and 5.8S ribosomal RNA
Rfam family: Eukaryotic small subunit ribosomal RNA (bases 1-73)
Source: RNAcentral
ACAAACUUGGUCAUUUAGAGGAAGUAAAAGUCGUAACAAGGUCUCCGUUGGUGAACCAGCGGAGGGAUCAUUAAAGAGUUUUUAACUCCUAAACCCAUGUGAACAUACCAUAUGUUGCCUCGGCAGGUUACAUACGAUCUAUUUAGACUGUGUGUUAAGGCCUGCCGGCGGUCCAUCCAAUGUUAGCUUUUAGAGACUACGUUCUACUAUAUAAAUUAUAUAGGGGUUGUGGAAACUUUGCUAGCUAAUGUUAUACAUUCUGUUUUAUUUUUAAAUUCUGAUGUUAUUUAAAAUAAGUUAAAACUUUCAACAACGGAUCUCUUGGUUCUGGCAUCGAUGAAGAACGCAGC